This 492-nucleotide ribosomal RNA is filed under the name uncultured bacterium. RNAcentral describes it as "partial 16S ribosomal RNA". It matches the Rfam family "Bacterial small subunit ribosomal RNA", at positions 29 to 507 of the family's 1533-position model. The record is from RNAcentral.
AGUGAACGCUGGCGGUAGGCCUAACACAUGCAAGUCGAACGGCAGCACAGUAAGAGCUUGCUCUUACGGGUGGCGAGUGGCGGACGGGUGAGGAAUACAUCGGAAUCUACUUUUUCGUGGGGGAUAACGUAGGGAAACUUACGCUAAUACCGCAUACGACCUACGGGUGAAAGCAGGGGAUCUUCGGACCUUGCGCGAUUGAAUGAGCCGAUGUCGGAUUAGCUAGUUGGCGGGGUAAAGGCCCACCAAGGCGACGAUCCGUAGCUGGUCUGAGAGGAUGAUCAGCCACACUGGAACUGAGACACGGUCCAGACGCCUACGGGAGGCAGCAGUGGGGAAUAUUGGACAAUGGACGCAAGCCUGAUCCAGCCAUACCGCGUGGGUGAAGAAGGCCUUGGGGUUGUAAAGCCCUUUUGUUGGGAAAGAAAAGCAGCAGGUUAAUACCCCGCUGUUCUGACGGUACCCAAAGAAUAAGCACCGGCUAACUUCGUG